Mastomys coucha (southern multimammate mouse) is the source of this 468-nucleotide long non-coding RNA. RefSeq lists it as uncharacterized. The transcript is spliced from 3 exons. Lineage: Eukaryota; Metazoa; Chordata; Mammalia; Rodentia; Muridae. The record is from RefSeq and is a predicted model, not a curated record.
UGUACACAGAGGCCAGGGAAAGAUCUUGGGUAUCCUGCUCUUCCAGGGUCUCUCACUGACACUGGACCUAGACUGGAAGCCAGCACACCUCAGUGACCCUCUGUUCUCCACCCUGCACAGCACAGGCAGGAAAUUAAAACCACAGCUAGUGCCAGGCUCUUAUCGAAGAACCCGGAAGCCAUCUGGUUCUCAUGCCACCUUUAAAUAGAAGCCUCUGAGGAGCGCUCCUCUCUGCCACAACACCAGCUCAACCGAGGAGAUGUCCUGUCGACUCUGCAACUUUCCCCAAAAGCCAUGUGGUGUCAGCACGACACUCUUGUUCCCAGAGGACAUCCCAAGACAAGGUUGGAACUUGCCAUUUCAGACCCAAGGAGACCCAGCAAAAACUUCACUUACACAGAUUCAGGCCCAGAGAAGGUAAUGUGGUGCCUCGGGAUGCAUGUGCCAGGAAGAAAGGACAUUUCUGGA